This 468-nucleotide ribosomal RNA is filed under the name uncultured bacterium. RNAcentral describes it as "partial 16S ribosomal RNA". It matches the Rfam family "Bacterial small subunit ribosomal RNA", at positions 28 to 507 of the family's 1533-position model. The record is from RNAcentral.
GACGAACGCUGGCGGCGUGCUUAACACAUGCAAGUCGAACGGAAAGGCCCUGCUUUUGUGGGGUGCUCGAGUGGCGAACGUGUGAGUAACACGUGAGUAACCUGCCCUUUACUUUGGGAUAACUUCAGGAAACUGGGGCUAAUACCGGAUAGGAGCUCCUGCUGCAUGGUGUGGGUUGGAAAGUUUCGGCGGUUGGGGAUGGACUCGCGGCUUAUCAGCUUGUUGGUGGGGUAGUGGCUUACCAAGGCUUUGACGGGUAGCCGGCCUGAGAGGGUGACCGGCCAAAUUGGGACUGAGAUACGGCCCAGACUCCUACGGGAGGCAGCAGUGGGGAAUAUUGCACAAUGGGCGGAAGCAUGAUGCAGCAACGCCGCGUGCGGGAUGACGGCCUUCGGGUUGUAAACCGAUUUCGCCUGUGACGAAGCGUGAGUGACGGUAAUGGGUAAAGAAGCACCGGCUAACUACGUG